GCUCUGGUGGCUCAAUCGGAUAGAGCGUUGGACUUCUAAUCCAAAGGUUGUGGGUUCAAGUCCCGCCCAGAGUA
Molecule: transfer RNA, 74 nt
Filed under: Perkinsus marinus ATCC 50983
Lineage: Eukaryota; Perkinsozoa; Perkinsida; Perkinsidae
Rfam family: tRNA
About the family: Transfer RNA (tRNA) molecules are approximately 80 nucleotides in length.
Source: Rfam by way of RNAcentral